RNAcentral lists this small RNA (471 nucleotides) under Arabidopsis thaliana (thale cress). RNAcentral's name for it is "ATSL185290". Lineage: Eukaryota; Viridiplantae; Streptophyta; Magnoliopsida; Brassicales; Brassicaceae. The record is from RNAcentral.
GAAACGUAUUUUCCUUUUCUACAUUGUUAAGUAUUGGGGAUAGAGAUUAAUCUCAUUAGGAUUAUUCCUAUAUAUCUUCUGAUUAUGUCCUAUAUUUUAGGGACUAGAGUAUAUCUUAUACGAUGUCUCUCUUGUAUAAAUAUUAUACUUUGUGAAUCAAUAAAAUCAAGUUAGUGCAAUAUCUAAUUCUACAUAGUUUCUUUAUUUCAUUAGAGCAUCCUUAUCCAUAGGUUGUUAACAAUAUCAUAAGAACUAUUAAAAUAUUAUAUUAAACAAAAUAAGAAUAAAAAAAUUAAAAAAAAGUAUACUUAAGAGAUGAAAAAUGGCUCUUAGCUAAAAGUUUUUAGAUACAUUCUCUCUAGCCUUUUUAAUAUUUAAACAUUAUUUUGUAUAUAUCAAAAUUGUUUAUAAUUCUAUGUAAGAGUCGAUUGAUAAAGAUGGUCUAAUUUCCUUUUCUUAAUUUUUGACGUA